This 231-nucleotide unclassified non-coding RNA is filed under the name fungal sp. RNAcentral's name for it is "partial internal transcribed spacer region". The stretch from base 1 to 47 matches the Rfam family "Eukaryotic small subunit ribosomal RNA", at positions 1785 to 1831 of the family's 1831-position model. The record is from RNAcentral. Lineage: Eukaryota; Fungi.
AAAGUCGUAACAAGGUUUCCGUAGGUGAACCUGCGGAAGGAUCAUUACCAAAUCCAAAUCCCAACCCCAUGUGAACCUGUGUUUGUAUGUCUUUGGGGGAGUUUAACUUCGAGCUUAAAACCCUCGUUUUUUUUACUCCCCCAAAUGUAUUGAACCACAUUGGUCUUCGUUGGAAUCACUUUUAUUAGUAAUAAUAAAAGACAACUUUUAACGGUGGAUCUCUUGGCUCGU